Molecule: ribosomal RNA, 460 nt
Filed under: uncultured Methylomirabilota bacterium
Lineage: Bacteria; Methylomirabilota (SeqCode)
Description: bacterial SSU rRNA
Rfam family: Bacterial small subunit ribosomal RNA
Source: RNAcentral
GGGCUUGACAUCCCACGAACCUGCCCGAAAAGGCGGGGUGCCCGCAAGGGAGCGUGGAGACAGGUGGUGCAUGGCUGUCGUCAGCUCGUGUCGUGAGAUGUUGGGUUAAGUCCCGCAACGAGCGCAACCCUCACCCCUAGUUGCCACCGGGUUAAGCCGAGCACUCAAGGGGAACUGCCAGCGUUAAGCUGGAGGAAGGCGGGGAUGACGUCAAGUCAUCAUGCCCCUUACGCCCUGGGCUACACACGUGCUACAAUGGCCAGUACAAAGGGACGCGAGACUGCGAAGUGGAGCUAAUCCCAAAAAGCUGGUCUAAGUUCAGAUUGCAGUCUGCAACUCGACUGCAUGAAGGAGGAAUCGCUAGUAAUCGCGCAUCAGCCCGGCGCGGUGAAUACGUUCCCGGGCCUUGUACACACCGCCCGUCACACCACGAAAGCUGUCUGUACUCGAAGUCGCUGAG